AGAGUUUGAUCAUGGCUCAGGACGAACGCUGGCGGCGUGCUUAACACAUGCAAGUCGAACGGAAAGGCCCCUUCGGGGGUACUCGAGUGGCGAACGGGUGAGUAACACGUGGGUGAUCUGCCCUGCACUUUGGGAUAAGCCUGGGAAACUGGGUCUAAUACCGAAUAGGACCGCAUGCUUCAUGGUGUGUGGUGGAAAGCUUUUGCGGUGUGGGAUGGGCCCGCGGCCUAUCAGCUUGUUGGUGGGGUAAUGGCCUACCAAGGCGACGACGGGUAGCCGGCCUGAGAGGGUGUCCGGCCACACUGGGACUGAGAUACGGCCCAGACUCCUACGGGAGGCAGCAGUGGGGAAUAUUGCACAAUGGGCGCAAGCCUGAUGCAGCGACGCCGCGUGGGGGAUGACGGCCCUCGGGUUGUAAACCUCUUUCAGUAUCGGCGAAGCUCCAGGAUUUUUCUUGGGGUGACGGUAGGUACAGAAGAAGCACCGGCCAACUACGUGCCAGCAGCCGCGGUAAUACGUAGGGUGCGAGCGUUGUCCGGAAUUACUGGGCGUAAAGAGCUCGUAGGUGGUUUGUCACGUUGUCCGUGAAAACUCACAGCUUAACUGUGGGCGUGCGGGCGAUACGGGCAGACUGGAGUACUGUAGGGGAGACUGGAAUUCCUGGUGUAGCGGUGGAAUGCGCAGAUAUCAGGAGGAACACCGGUGGCGAAGGCGGGUCUCUGGGCAGUAACUGACGCUGAGGAGCGAAAGCGUGGGGAGCGAACAGGAUUAGAUACCCCGGUAGUCCAA
RNAcentral lists this ribosomal RNA (789 nucleotides) under uncultured bacterium. RNAcentral's name for it is "bacterial SSU rRNA". It matches the Rfam family "Bacterial small subunit ribosomal RNA", at positions 8 to 798 of the family's 1533-position model. The record is from RNAcentral.